This 990-nucleotide long non-coding RNA is filed under the name Marmota monax (woodchuck). Lineage: Eukaryota; Metazoa; Chordata; Mammalia; Rodentia; Sciuridae. The record is from RNAcentral.
GGGACAGUCACCAAGAAAAAAUGGAGAAGAAAAAGAAGAAGAAACCUGCAUAGGAAGAGAGAUGCAGGGUAUUACUUUUAUUCCUUUGACCAUGUACAUGUUUGGGAGUGAUGUUAAUGUGAUAACAGACCAACAGGAAGAGUAUCACAGGUCCCAGGACUGAAGUUGUGUGGGUGGAUAUAGUUUGGAAGGGGAAUUCUAAAAUUAACAUUUUCUCAUGGAAGAUGGUAUUAAUCAAAGUCACUUUUUAUCCCUUUCUGGUUUCUUCCCUCAACUUGACAUAUUUGCAUGAGUGGAGAGAAAGAGAAGAGGAGAACAACAUUAAGUUAAAAGGAAAAGUGUUAAAAAAUGAAAUCACUGCCAAGGAUGGUGAUGGAAGUUAUAAUAUAUUCUGUAUUGCUAUAUCCCCCUUUUUUUUCUGGAAAAGUGAAGAGAUUUUCUUCAUAUAGCUAAAUAUUUUGUAAUGAUACUUUUACAUAAGGAAUCCACUAAAGUCUUUGCAGGCAAGACUUUCUAUAUAAAGCAUAGGUAAUUAUAGCUUCAGGUUACGUAUGAGCAUCUAAUGGCCCAAUUAGUCCUUCAGAGAAGUCAGUUUUAUUGUUCCUUUGUUUUCUCUGCAGUGUUUCUAAUUGGAAUGGAGCUUCCAUUUUUAGAGAAUUUUCUUAGUACUUGUGACUGAUUCUACUAAAAAAACUAAGAAGUUUUGAAUCUAAUAUAUAUUAGGUAACAAAUAUUAGUGGUGUAUAUAAAUCCUCAUACACAAAGAAUAGCUAAAGCCCGGUGAGUACAGAAGACAUCCUCCUUGACUGCGCUUUAUUUAGUCAGGCCCCAUUAACUCCUCUUCUUCAUUAGCCAGCAUUCCUACUGGACCUGCAGAACUGGUUUAGUUUAGCAAGAGUUCUUGCCAAGUCCGUUUAACCAGAAUCUCUGCCAGGGAUAACUGAUCACUCUCCAUAUCUUAUCACAUUUCUCAUCCUCCACCACCCACCU